UGGCAGCUGCCCUUGCUAACUGCUGAAACAAGCCUUAAGUGUAUAGCACAAAGCGAGUUGCACAACCAGAUAAUAAUUUGGCAAACCUAAGAAAAACGUGGCAGAAAGGUAUUGUCAGCCCCUGUAUGACAACAUCGCCCUGCCACCCUUAAAGCCUCCACCGGACAACACCCCGCAUUGUUGUUCGGGGGAGGGUCAAAUAUCUAUAAUUUAUGAUGCUGUAAGGGUUGAAACUCGAAUGUAUUUGUGAAAUGCAUUGGACUUCCAACGACCCAAGACGCGAAUCUGCGCAUCAGACAAGCCCUGCUCAGCUGCGAAUGAUGCUGCGCCAAUUCGAAAACUGUGAGAUUUAUAAACCGUAGGAUUGAGGUUGCAAAAUUUUAAGCAUUGAUUGAGAUAGGAAAUAAACAUGUUUCUCGGCACUGUCGCCCCCACAGGAGUCAUGAAAAUUGGCCCAGGAGAAUUGCCACGGCGGGUCAAAUAAUUGCACAAAAGUUGUACAGGGCAGGGCUUGGGGGUUGGCUGACGAUAAAUGGCCAUGGAAAACGGGCGUUGGUUGUAAUUGUGUUUAUAGUCGGUGAAGGUUAUUUUAAAACCAAUUACUUCACCGUCUCUUAAGAGUUUGGUGAGUUGGUUUAAAUGUAGUGGAAUAGGAGA
Molecule: non-coding RNA, 657 nt
Organism: Paramuricea clavata
Lineage: Eukaryota; Metazoa; Cnidaria; Anthozoa; Malacalcyonacea; Plexauridae
Source: the annotation of a GenBank genome assembly